This 1321-nucleotide long non-coding RNA is filed under the name Fragaria vesca (wild strawberry). Its description in RNAcentral is "long non-coding RNA (FVES_LNC001362)". The record is from RNAcentral. Lineage: Eukaryota; Viridiplantae; Streptophyta; Magnoliopsida; Rosales; Rosaceae.
UUCUCUGACAUCGUUUCUAUGUAGUUCAUAGUUUCCCCAACCUUCAGCUCAAGGCUAUGGUAGUGACGGAGCAUGCAAACAUGCUACACAAUCGACAGGGAAUCGAGUUUUAGAGCUCCGACAUGCCAAUAUCCAUCUUCUUGGAUCGUUUUGAGGUAAAGUCCCAAGAACCUAUAGAUUUGGGAUUUCAGAUUUUAACACAGAUUGGGUUUUGAUUAUUUUUAUGGUUUGGUUGCCGGUGAUGACAAACUCGAGUUGAAUUAGGUUCCAAGAAACAAAGCAUGAAGACCAUGGAGAAUAAUUAAGCUGCGAAGGGAAGAGGUAAUGAAACUGAAAAUCACAAGUAAGAUUCUGCCACUGAUUUGAAUCUAGGUUCUUAAUUUUGUCUUUUGGUUCUAUAUGAUGAUGCAAACUGAGAUUUAUUGGGCGAUGGACUUGUUUGGGUAGAGAAGCAGGAUAAGUAAUUUCCAUGAAGUUAGAAGUGGAAAGGAUGAAGAGGAUUGACGAGUAAGGAAACAUAGAAGGAACUAGAAAAGGAGAAGAGGAACCUACUGUGGCUGCUCAUCCAAUCUCACAGCAUAAAGAAAGGAGAUUGUUACUUACUAAUCUACAAGAUAAGUUGGCUGGUUACUUGGACCAUUAUUACUUGAUUUGAUUUGAUUUGAUUAUACUUGUAAGAUUAUAUGUUGGUUAAAUAUAACUGGGCUGCUAUUAGUCUGCAAAGUGUUGUGGUUUUGAGUUUUGACCAUUUGGUAAGAAACUGGCACGGGUUAUGAAUUUGGUACAAUUGAGUUGUGUAAUUGAUAUCCUAUUUUAAAAGAGACAAGGUCUGUUUAAAGUAAAGAGAUGCAGUACAAGGUUUUCCAUGUAUUGGAAGCAAGUGAAUUAUAUAUGGGUGUUGAGACCAGCCUUAUAUAUAUAUAUAUAUAUGGCUUAUAUUCAGAUUAAUAAGUCCUUAUUGUGAAUUGGUAAUCACGUUAUGAGGUACCAAAUUGGGGUAAGUUCUAAUUUGAGUUGAGUUACAGAUUUGGUUAUGUUCUGAACCUUGAAUGGUUAAGAGAUAGAUAAUGAGUUUGGCUCAAUGGAGAGUGAGCUCUUAUGCUCCUGUUAAUCAAUAUAAAGUUGAUAGAUGGAUUUGAGUCAAGAAAAAGUGAAGAGUUAUUUAAAGGGAUUACCAUAUUAUAAUUGAGAAUAAUGUUUGUAGCCGACAUGAAUAUUAACGUGGAAUUUGUCGGACAUACUUUCAGCUACCCAAAAUGGUAAGCGGUGGUGGUGUUUGCCUAGCAUUAUGGAGUAAAGAUUCGAACUCUAGGAAUACCAG